GGGAAUGUAGCUUAGUGGUAAAGUGCUUGCCUAACAUACAUGAAGCCCUGGGUUCGAUUUCUCAGUACCA
This 70-nucleotide transfer RNA is filed under the name Dipodomys ordii (Ord's kangaroo rat). It matches the Rfam family "tRNA". Rfam says of the family: Transfer RNA (tRNA) molecules are approximately 80 nucleotides in length. Their secondary structure includes four short double-helical elements and three loops (D, anti-codon, and T loops). Further hydrogen bonds mediate the characteristic L-shaped molecular structure. tRNAs have two regions of fundamental functional importance: the anti-codon, which is responsible for specific mRNA codon recognition, and the 3' end, to which the tRNAs corresponding amino acid is attached (by aminoacyl-tRNA synthetases). tRNAs cope with the degeneracy of the genetic code in two manners: having more than one tRNA (with a specific anti-codon) for a particular amino acid; and 'wobble' base-pairing, i.e. permitting non-standard base-pairing at the 3rd anti-codon position. Lineage: Eukaryota; Metazoa; Chordata; Mammalia; Rodentia; Heteromyidae. The record is from Rfam by way of RNAcentral.